GGACGAACGCUGGCGGCGUGGAUUAGGCAUGCAAGUCGAACGGUAUCAUCCUUUCGGGGGUGAGAGAGUGGCGAACUGGUGAGUAACACGUAGGUUAUCUACCCUCAAGACGGGGACAACCCAGGGAAACUUGGGCUAAUACCGGAUGUGAGCAACUUUUUAGUUGUUUGAAAGGUGGCGUAAGCUGUCGCUUGGGGAUGAGCCUGCGUCCUAUUAGUUAGUUGGUGAGGUAACGGCUCACCUAGGCAAUGAUAGGUAGGCGGCCUUAACGGGUAGUCGCCCACACUGGGAUUGAGAUACGGCCCAGACUCCUACGGGAGGCAGCAGUCGAGAAUAGUCUACAAUGGUCGGAAGACUGAUAGUGCGACGCCGCGUGAACGAUGAAUCCCUUCGGGGUGUAAAGUUCUUUUAUAUGUGAGCAGUGCUUCUUAUAUUAAGAGUAUGGGGAGAGAGAUAUUAGCAUAUGAAUAAGCAACGGCUAACUCCGUGCCAGCAGCCGCGGUAACACGGGGGUUGCGAGCGUUGUCCGGAAUUACUAGGCGUAAAGGGCAGGCAGGCGGAUCCAUAAGUUUAUCGUUUAAGGCGUCGGCUUAACCGGCGUAGGGCGGUAGAUACUGUGGAUCUGGAAUGCGGUUGGGGAAGACAGAAUUCCUGGUGUAGCGGUGGAAUGCGCAGAGAUCAGGAGGAAUACCGAAGGCGAAGGCAGUCUUCCAAGCCGUUAUUGACGCUCAACUGCGAAGGUGUGGGUAUCAAACAGGAUUAGAUACCCUGGUAGUCCACACAGUAAACGAUAAUCACUGGGUGUCGGGUUCGCAUAGGAUUCGGUGCCGUAGCUAACGCGUUAAGUGAUUCGCCUGGGGAGUACGAUCGCAAGGUUGAAACUCAAAGGAAUUGACGGGGGCCCGCACAAGCGGUGGAGCAUGUGGUUUAAUUCGAAGCAACGCGAAGAACCUUACCCGGUCUUGACAUCCGAGGGAUCCCUCAGAGAUGGGGGAGUGCCGGCUAGCCGGAACUUCGAGACAGGUGCUGCAUGGCUGUCGUCAGCUCGCGUCGUGAGAUGUUGGGUUAAGUCCCGCAACGAGCGCAACCCCUGCUUCCAGUUACCAUCAUUAAGUUGGGGACUCUGGAAGGACCGCUGCGGUAACAACGCAGAGGAAGAUGGGGACGAUGUCAAGUCAUCAUGGUCCUUAUGACCGGGGCUACACACGUGCUACAAUGGUAGUUACAGAGGGAUGCGAAGGGGUGACCUGGAGCUAAUCUCUUAAAAGCUGCCACAGUUCGGAUUGAGGUCUGCAACUCGACCUCAUGAAGCAGGAAUCGCUAGUAAUCGCGCAACAUCAUGGCGCGGUGAAUACGUUCCCGGGCCU
Molecule: ribosomal RNA, 1367 nt
Filed under: uncultured bacterium
Lineage: Bacteria
Description: bacterial SSU rRNA
Rfam family: Bacterial small subunit ribosomal RNA
Source: RNAcentral